GGCGGCGCAGGGACGCGGCUGCGACUGGAGCGGGCGAGCCGGCGCCCGCUCGUUCCUCGGACCUCUGCAGGACGGGGCUCGUCGGGGAGGACGUAGCGCAGCCGCUCCUGGAGCUGGUGACAACAGGGAGCGUUGUCGCGUCUCUGUCGCCUGUCUUUAGGAGCAAAGCGUCGCCAGCGUGAUUUCAAGAAGAUAAAGCAGCUGUCGGACCCACUAAAAUCGCGACACGCAGCACUGAGCGUUAACGCGAGUGUUAGCAGCGUGGCAUUGGCGAGGCCGCGCGUGCUCUGCCGUCCGCGCCGGCCCUGCACGUCCGUUCAUCUCGGUCAAGGCUGCUGGGAGAGCAGGGAGACGUCGGCACGGCGCCUUUCCCAGCCGGUGCCCCGCCAUGGGGUGCAGCCGGGCCUCGGCGUCGCCCCGGCGAGGCGGCAGCCGCCACCAGGCCUGCGCGGCCUCCUCGGCCGUCGCCUCGCCGCUCGGCCCGGCCCCUCUGGAGACCCACUGGAGACGCUCCCAGAGAAGGUGGCGGGAGCGGAGGAGCGAGGGGAAAGCAGGAGGGAGGAGGAGGCCUCGCCAGCUGGAGCCCAGCGACAGGAAACCCAAGUCUUUAGCCGCCUUCCCGCGUUGUUCGCAAACCGGCGGUGGGUACCAGCGAUCGCCGCUGGAGAAGGCGAGGAAGUCUCCGCACGCCUGGGUUUCCCCUCUGUGCGAAUCUUUUGAGGUGGAGCCUGGAACAAGAUGGCAAGAUAUCGGUGUGAAACCUCCUGAUUGAAGUGACAUGGGGAACACUGCUACUGAAACACGCUGUGUCUGCGAGACAUACCCACGCGGCAAAACGAGGACAAGUGCACCGGGCUCGAUGUUAUGUAACUCGCAUAGGACUCUCUCUCCUGGCAAGAAAAUGAUCCAAAACAUGAAGACUAGCAUUUAUGAAUUAUUUACUCAUACAAACGCACAUCUAGCAAAUACCUCCCACGUACUAACAGCCAUAUCUGGAAAUCAAUUAAUGUCAGUCUAUGCAGGUAAGAGACAAUUUUGUCCACUGGAUAGUAGGCAGCAGCAGGAGAAUAGCCAGUUCACAUACAUUUGCAAAUGUAACGUUUGAAGUAGUUGAGAGGGAAACUGCUGAACGCCGUCCUCGCAUACCAGCGUGUAGCAAGGUCACAUUAGCAUGCAUUAGUGAAGGUCUGUAAACCUCACUUUUGAAUUAACAUUCUCAAGCUUGUAGCACACCCUCAAAGGUACUGAGUCAGGUUUUAAUAUUUCCUGAUGGUAGAGAUUGAGAGAGUAAACACGGAUAACUGCAUUUAAAAGCAUAUUACUUUCUCUAUUAGCAUGCAGCUUUGGCACAUGUUGAGACUGGACUUUCAAACUUACAUGUUUUAGAUUAAGGUUUUUUUAAAUAGAUUUCUAUCUGAAGUGCAAUUGCUUUGCCUGAUCUACAAAUCCUUAAUUUGAGACAGCUCAGUAGAAAGAGGUUAGUUACUGGUUAUCAGUAUUUUCUUCAUUCACCUUUAGACUCAAUUCAGAUAAGCUCUGUAAAAGGUACACCACUUUCUUAAGCACCAGCAAAAUCAGAUGCAUGUAAAUAUGCUAUUAUAAGAAAUGCUAUAUUAAAAUACUUCUUCUAGUUCUUUGAUGAAGAAUCUGGAAUUAGUUAGUCAUUCACUUGUACAGGCCAAUGUCAGCUUUAAAAACACAAAUUCUCUCUCAGUAGUUUAAAUGUUGAUUUGAGUCCAGUUUUAGCCUCCAAUAGGCCAGAGAAAUUAUACUAGUUCCAGUUUAAAAGAAUGGAAUUAUUUCCUUCCAUACUACUUAAGAUGAAUGUCUACAUAUAUAUUAAAUAGUAUAUUAUGUAUGCAAAUUAAGUAUUGCAGCAUUAUGCCAUUUAAUUUUCUCAGUUUUUGAAAAAUUCAGCAGUACAAGACAUCAUUCAAAUUGAUUUUUUUUUCCUGAAUAAAAGUUUGCCAUUAGUAAUAAUAACCUUGUUU
This 1991-nucleotide long non-coding RNA is filed under the name Apteryx owenii (little spotted kiwi). RNAcentral describes it as "lncRNA (ENSAOWG00000004024.1)". Lineage: Eukaryota; Metazoa; Chordata; Aves; Apterygiformes; Apterygidae. The record is from RNAcentral.